This 239-nucleotide ribosomal RNA is filed under the name uncultured bacterium. Its description in RNAcentral is "partial 16S ribosomal RNA". It matches the Rfam family "Bacterial small subunit ribosomal RNA", at positions 28 to 270 of the family's 1533-position model. The record is from RNAcentral.
GACGAACGCUGGCGGCGUGCUUAACACAUGCAAGUGGAGCGACGAACCGGGGCUUGCCCCGGGGCAGAGCCGCGAACGGGUGAGUAACACGUGGGUUACCUGCCCCGAUGACCGGGACAACCCGAGGAAACUCGGGCUAAUACCGGAUGUGGUCUUCGGACGAAAGGAAGCUUUUAUUAGCCUCCGCAUUGGGAUGGGCCCGCGGCGCAUUAGCUUGUUGGUUGGGUAACGGCCUACAG